CCUUAGCCGCCGCACCCCCAAACCACGCAGGCAGUUGAAACAGCGACGUCGGCCACUCCCUCUCGCUCGAUCCACACCGCCACGGCGCCACCUGCUGCACACCGGCGUCCCUAGCAGCCCAGCUACGCGGACGGUGACGGGCUGACGGCGCGGCUCCGGGAGGGCGCGCUCUCCUGCUGCACACCGUCGACUGUCGUAGGCGCGGCUCAGGGAGUGGGCGCGCCGCGCGCGUGGUUCCAGCGUUCCAGGGCGCCCGGGGACGGGAGCCGCGAGUGCGGUAGGCCAGGACCGCACUGCGGCGCGCGGUAGGUGCAGCCUGUACCUGAGUGGCCGAGCUGCGCCAUCGCUUCACCGCCCUCAGCGCCUUGGGUGGGUGCCAGAAGCGAAAUGGGUGGACUCCGCCACACCUGGUUGGAGGCACGCAAGGUGUUCGUAAGAAUGCUUAGCAGUGGAGGCGCGGCCAGCGUUAGUGGCGAGGUUCUGGUGGAUGCAUUAGUCCCAGCCAAGCGCCUCUGCAAGCUCAUCAUCUCCUGCCGGAAGGCCUCGGCUCUGGAGCACGAGCUCGACCACAGCGGCUUCCGCGUCACACCGGAGGUCGCGGAGCGUGUCUUGGAGCGCCUUGACAAUGCUGGCAUGCUUGCGUACCGCUUCUUUGAAUGGGCACGGAGGCAGAAGCGCGGUGGGUGCGCGCACACCGUGCGCUCCUUCCACACGGUGGUCGCGUCCCUCGCCAAGAUCAGGCAGUACCAGCUCAUGUGGGACGUCGUGGCCAUCAUGCGCAAGGAGGGCGUGGCCAAUGUCGAGACGUUCUGCAUCAUCAUGCGCAAAUAUGCCCGGGCACAGAAGUUCGAUGAGGCUGUUUACACGUUCAAUGUCAUGGAGAAGUACGGUGUUGCCCCCAACCUCGCUGCCUUCAACAGCUUGCUUUGUGCGCUGUGCAAAUCUAAGAAUGUGCGCAAGGCCCAGGAGAUCUUUGACAAGAUGAAUAAUCGGUUCACUCCUGAUGCCAAGACCUAUAGCAUCUUGCUUGAGGGCUGGGGGAGAGCACCAAACCUCCCAAAGAUGCGGGAGGUCUACAAUGAGAUGCUUGAAUCUGGUUGCCAACCUGACAUCGUCACAUAUGGUAUCAUGGUUGAUGCACUCUGCAAGGCGGGCAGGAUUGAGGAGGCUGUCCUUGUUGUGCAUGACAUGAGCUCCAGGGGAUGCCAACCGACGACCUUCAUAUACAGUGUCUUAGUGCAUACGUAUGGAGUUGAGAUGAGGAUCGAGGAUGCUGUUGCAACAUUUUUGGAUAUGGAGAAGGAUGGAAUUGUGCCUGAUGUUGUUGUGUACAACGCGCUCGUCACUGCCUUCUGCAAAGUGAAGAAGUUUGACAAUGCCUUUCGAGUCAUGGAUGACAUGGAAGGCCAUGGAAUCACACCGAAUUCAAGGACCUGGAACAUCAUCCUAAAUACUCUGAUUAGCCAUGGGAAGGAUGAUGAGGCAUACAGGGUCUUCCGCAGCAUGAUUAAACGCUGCCAACCGGACUCUGAUACUUACACCAUGAUGAUAAAGAUGUUCUGUGAGAAUGAUAAAAUAGAGAUGGCACUGAAGGUAUGGAAGUACAUGAGGUUGAAGCAGUUUCUUCCAAGCAUGCACACAUUCUCCGUGCUGAUCAAUGGUCUGUGUGACAAGGGUGAGGUUAGCCAAGCUUGUGUCCUGCUUGAAGAUAUGAUAGAGAAGGGCAUUAGACCUCCUGGUUCGACAUUUGGCAAGCUGAGGCAGCUGCUUUUGAAAGAAGGAAGGAAGGAUGUGCUUGACUUUCUUGUUGAGAAAAUGAAGAUCCUCAUUCAAGAACCUUUGUUUGAUUGAUCGAUCCUGAUCCUUCGCUUCUCCAGUGGGUUCAUGCUUUUAAUGUGCCACUCCAGCUGUUCAGCCUAUGCGGUUACUGUUUAGGUUUUAUGGAUAAAUGUUCCCAGUUGAAGUUGAAGGAUCACAGGAUUCCCAUCCAAGCUCUGGCCUUGUUAUUGACAUCUCACUCAAUCAUUACAAUCAAACAACUCAUGCCUAAAUUAGCUCACUGGCAACUUGUUGCAUUGUAAGACAGAGACUUGAGUCCUCUAAAAGAGAUGAAUUCCAUGUGAUCCAUGGAUCAAGAGGACUUGUUAGGUGCAAGAAUCCUGCAAGAACCGGUGUCAGCCACAAGUGUCCAUUUUCUGAACUAGAGAGCUUGUGACAACUUGUUCAGGCACAAGUCACUGCUACCUCUAAAUUGGUACUAGUCUGAGCACUUGGUCCAUGGAAAGGGGCAUCGUGUUGCUCGAGUAUUUAAAAUGAUGGAUGGAGUUGCUCUUACAAGCAAUACAAGCAUACAACUAGCUCCAUGUUGUUGAAGUUGCUGCUUCCCUUAAAAAAUGAGACCUUCUCUAGAAAGCUGUGGAUUGCAUGUUUGGCGUUCCUGUGCAGAUAAGAAAGGAGGAAUUGAUGGUCAAACUUUCAUUUUAGAGAUCAUUCCAGUGUCCAAAACAAUGUGGCAUUUUGUUUCUGUUGCGGUGCAGUUGGGCCAAUUUGGGUGAAAUAAUUUCACACUGAUAUGGACGAAUUGCAGAAUUCUUGUGAAAUUCAUGUGCAUUGGGGGUGUGAACUACUGGUAUCUCCCCCUCGCCAUGGCUUCUCUGUUGCAAGAUCACAAGAUUAUUUGCUUUUAGGGUAUUGAUUUUAUUCUUGCUUAAACUGUUGACUCUCUGGAAUCCUUUGGUUGAGCCAUGAUAAAUAAGAGUAUCUUCUGAAGCCAUUUACCCAUCU
RNA transcript from Setaria italica (foxtail millet), 2784 nucleotides. It is a transcript of the gene named pentatricopeptide repeat-containing protein At1g77360, mitochondrial, with no coding region annotated. The record is from RefSeq and is a predicted model, not a curated record. Lineage: Eukaryota; Viridiplantae; Streptophyta; Magnoliopsida; Poales; Poaceae. The transcript has 3 exons.